This 466-nucleotide ribosomal RNA is filed under the name uncultured bacterium. RNAcentral describes it as "bacterial SSU rRNA". It matches the Rfam family "Bacterial small subunit ribosomal RNA", at positions 28 to 507 of the family's 1533-position model. The record is from RNAcentral.
GACGAACGCUGGCGGCGUGCCUAACACAUGCAAGUCGAACGGGACUUGAGGGGCUUGCUCCUUAAGUUUAGUGGCGGACGGGUGAGUAACGCGUGAGGAACCUGCCUUUCAGAGGGGGACAACAGUUGGAAACGACUGCUAAUACCGCAUAACGCGUAGAGGUCGCAUGGCCUUUACGCCAAAGAUUUAUCGCUGAAAGAUGGCCUCGCGUCUGAUUAGCUAGUUGGUGAGGUAACGGCCCACCAAGGCGACGAUCAGUAGCCGGACUGAGAGGUUGAACGGCCACAUUGGGACUGAGAUACGGCCCAGACUCCUACGGGAGGCAGCAGUGGGGAAUAUUGGGCAAUGGGCGCAAGCCUGACCCAGCAAUGCCGCGUGAAGGAAGAAGGCUUUCGGGUUGUAAACUUCUUUUGUCAGGGACGAGCAGAAGACGGUACCUGACGAAUAAGCCACGGCUAACUACGUG